GCGACCACCUGUAACCCGAGCGGGGGUAGGGACCUGUGAAUAGCUGCAUGGCUGUCUCGGUCCAUAGGCCCAUGCCGAUGGUGUGUCCAUCUCAAGCCAGACGUCUCCAGUCCGAGCUCCUUGAAGGGAGUUAGGCCGGGCGUUAAAGCGAAGAGUACUGCGUGAGGCGGGAAACCGAGCAGCGAGUAUCUUCCGCGUCUGGCGGUGAGUGGAUAGCAUACCUGAAUGGU
This 230-nucleotide signal recognition particle RNA is filed under the name Pyramimonas parkeae. Its description in RNAcentral is "partial Plant signal recognition particle RNA". It matches the Rfam family "Plant signal recognition particle RNA", at positions 1 to 256 of the family's 305-position model. Lineage: Eukaryota; Viridiplantae; Chlorophyta; Pyramimonadophyceae; Pyramimonadales; Pyramimonadaceae. The record is from RNAcentral.